UACGUAGGGGGCAAGCGUUGUCCGGAAUUAUUGGGCGUAAAGGGCCCGUAGGCGGUCUGUUGCGUCAGGAGUGAAAACUCGGGGCUUAACCCCGAGCCUGCUUCUGAUACGGGCAGACUAGAGGUAUGCAGGGGAGAACGGAAUUCCUGGUGUAGCGGUGAAAUGCGCAGAUAUCAGGAGGAACACCGGUGGCGAAGGCGGUUCUCUGGGCAUUACCUGACGCUGAGGAGCGAAAGUGUGGGGAGCGAACAGG
RNAcentral lists this ribosomal RNA (253 nucleotides) under uncultured bacterium. RNAcentral describes it as "partial 16S ribosomal RNA". It matches the Rfam family "Bacterial small subunit ribosomal RNA", at positions 524 to 776 of the family's 1533-position model. The record is from RNAcentral.